Molecule: ribosomal RNA, 253 nt
Filed under: uncultured bacterium
Lineage: Bacteria
Description: partial 16S ribosomal RNA
Rfam family: Bacterial small subunit ribosomal RNA
Source: RNAcentral
UACGUAGGGGGCAAGCGUUGUCCGGAAUCAUUGGGCGUAAAGAGCGUGUAGGCGGCUCGGUAAGUCCGCUGUGAAAGUCCAGGGCUCAACCCUGGAAUGCCGGUGGAAACUGUCGAGCUAGAGUCCGGAAGAGGCGAGUGGAAUUCCUGGUGUAGCGGUGAAAUGCGCAGAUAUCAGGAGGAACACUGGUGGCGAAGGCGGUUCUCUGGGCCUUACCUGACGCUGAGGAGCGAAAGCGUGGGGAGCAAACAGG